RNAcentral lists this ribosomal RNA (594 nucleotides) under Ocinebrina cf. edwardsii BAU959.4. RNAcentral's name for it is "partial 16S ribosomal RNA". The stretch from base 10 to 401 matches the Rfam family "Bacterial large subunit ribosomal RNA", at positions 2049 to 2651 of the family's 2925-position model. The record is from RNAcentral. Lineage: Eukaryota; Metazoa; Mollusca; Gastropoda; Neogastropoda; Muricidae.
AUUUUAUUUGUAGGUGAAGAAGCCUAUAUUAUAUUGAAAGACAACAAGACCCUAUCGAGCUUUAGAAAAAUUAAUAAAUUAAAAAUUAGUAUUAAAAUAUAAAUUUUGUUAUUAAGUUAUUUUAGUUGGGGCGACUGAGGAACAGAUAAAGCUUCCUAUAUAAUAUUAACACAUUCAAGUAUUGAUCCAAACAUUUUGAUUAAAGGAAUUAGUUACCGUAGGGAUAACAGCAUUAUCUUUUUUGAGAGUUCUAAUCGAAAAAAAGGUUUGUGACCUCGAUGUUGGACCAGAAUAUCCUAAAGAUGCAGCCGUCUUUAAGGGUUGGUCUGUUCGACCAUUAAAAUUCUACGUGAUCUGAGUUCAGACCGGCGUGAGCCAGGUCAGUUUCUAUCUUCAAUUUUCAUAGUGAGCUUAGUACGAAAGGACCAGUUUACUGUAAAUAAUUACUACGUCUGAUAAAAUAUAAAGCAUUAUUAAGUUAAUUAUAGUAAUAAUAUAAUUUAUAAUCAAAUUAGCAAAAUUUAAUGCAAUUGACUUAGGAUCAAUAGACAUAGGUGAAAUUCCUUUAUUUGAUAUAUAAAGGUGGCAGAUGAA